RNAcentral lists this unclassified non-coding RNA (89 nucleotides) under Pseudomonas sp. NFACC14. RNAcentral also lists the same sequence under 1 other name. The record is from RNAcentral. Lineage: Bacteria; Pseudomonadati; Pseudomonadota; Gammaproteobacteria; Pseudomonadales; Pseudomonadaceae.
UGUGGGAGCGAGCUUGCUCGCGAUAGCGGUGGGUCAGGCGACUGAUUGUCAACUGUCAGUCCGCUAUCGCGAGCAAGCUCGCUCCCACA